This 253-nucleotide ribosomal RNA is filed under the name uncultured bacterium. RNAcentral describes it as "partial 16S ribosomal RNA". It matches the Rfam family "Bacterial small subunit ribosomal RNA", at positions 524 to 776 of the family's 1533-position model. The record is from RNAcentral.
GACGAACCGUGCGAACGUUGUUCGGAAUCACUGGGCGUAAAGGGCGCGUAGGUGGCCCGUUAAGUGGCUGGUGAAAUCCCGGGGCUCAACUCCGGGGCUGCCGGUCAGACUGGCGAGCUAGAGCACGGUAGGGGCAGAUGGAAUUCCCGGUGUAGCGGUGGAAUGCGUAGAUAUCGGGAAGAAUACCAGUGGCGAAGGCGUUCUGCUGGGCCGUUGCUGACACUGAGGCGCGACAGCGUGGGGAGCAAACAGG